CCUGUCUAAGCUUUGUGUUCCUUGCACCUUCGAGUUCCUGAUCUCGGCGUUUCCUCAUCCAAAACUUACCACCUUGGGCAUAUCCCUCGGUGGGCAGCCAGUUAAACACCGACAAAGGGCACGCGACGUGUGCGUGAAAGGUCCCGAAAUCGGCUGUAGAAAGCCGAUUGUUCCCUGGCGGCUUCCUUUUGCCACUUUGAAUCUGUUACGGAUAUCACGCGCGGAAUUUUUGAAACUCGUAACCGACUAGGGUUUUGGGACGCGAAAAACCCUAGCGGUUCUCCUUAUAAAUACGCUGGGUGCCGGCACAGAAAAGAAAGAGAGAAAACCUACGAUGCACAACACGCCUCAUCUUGCCUGCUGCGCCACCGUGUACGCUACUUCAUCCCGUUCGUCGGCGUGCACCGGCGAUCGGGAGAGCAGGUCUCUGGAACCUCGUCCUCAGCGAUCCUGCACUGGGAGAGGGCGAAUAAGGUUUUUGGGAAGCGCUCUGCGCGACUGCUCGAACGCUUCCACAUCGCCGUCCUCUACAUCCUCGUCACCGCGGCUCGUCUACCUCCUCGUCAGUGGGGCGCAACUCGGCGUCGUCAAGCACGCGGAGGUGCUGAUCAUCGCCGUCAUCUUCUUUGCCUGGUUAUUCCGGCCGGACAAGAAACAACACGGCAUUAUUCAUGAGAGGACGCCUCCCUAUUCACCCGAAUCAAACGGGAUUGCCGAAAGGAAGAAUCGCAUGUUGUCUGACUUGGUUAAUGCCAUGUUAGAUACCGCUGGAUUAUCUAAGGCAUGGUGGGGGGAGGCAGUACUGACUGCAUGUCAUGUCCUGAAUAGAGUUCCCAUGAAGAAUUAGAAAAAGACUCCUUACGAAGAGUGGAUUGGGAGAAGACCUUCACUCUCUUACUUGCGCACAUGGGGUUGUUUGGUCAAGGUGAAUGUGCCAAUCAACAAGAAGCGCAAGUUGGGAUCUAAAACUGUGGAUUGUAUCUUUUUGGGUUAUGCACAUCGUAGCAUUGCUUAUAGAUUUCUAAUAGUUAAAUCUGAGAUGCCUGUUAUGCAUGUAAAUUCACUGCUUGAGUCUCGUGAUGCCACUUUCUUUGAGAAUAUCUUUCCUAUGAAAGACUCGCAUGUUAUAUCUUCAUUACCUCUAAAUGAAACAGUGAAUACAACUCCUGAAUCUGUUGAA
This is an RNA transcript of Panicum hallii, 1180 nucleotides long. RefSeq lists it as uncharacterized. The record is from RefSeq and is a predicted model, not a curated record. Lineage: Eukaryota; Viridiplantae; Streptophyta; Magnoliopsida; Poales; Poaceae. The transcript is spliced from 2 exons.